Molecule: long non-coding RNA, 1630 nt
Filed under: Setaria viridis
Lineage: Eukaryota; Viridiplantae; Streptophyta; Magnoliopsida; Poales; Poaceae
Description: long non-coding RNA (SVIR_LNC006925)
Source: RNAcentral
CGAGUUUCGCUACCCGGCAAUAUGCAAUCGGGUGCCGAAAUGCACCCGUUUUGCAUCAUUUUUCGUUCCGGAACCGAAUGCUCAAAAACACUCCCAAACAUGUUCUAGGGUAUAAUUAGGAAGAUUGCAUGCGUUCGUUGCGAAAAAAUCCACCCGAGUUUCGCUACCCGGCAAUAUGCAAUCGGGUGCCGAAAUGCACCCGUUUUGCAUCAUUUUUCGUUCCGGAACCGAAUGCUAAAAAACACUCCCAAACAUGUUCUAGGGUAUAAUUAUGAAGAUUGCAUGCGUUCGUUGCGAAAAAAUCCACCCGAGUUUCGCUACCCGGCAAUAUGCAUUCGGGUACCGAAAUGCACCCGUAUUGCAUCAUUUUUCGUUCCGGAACCGAAUGCUCAAAAACACUACCAAACAUGUUCUAGGGUAUAAUUAUGAAGAUUGCAUGCGUUCGUUGCGAAAAAAUCUAAUCGAGUUUCGCUACACGGAAAAAGUGCAUUCGGGUGCCGAAAUGCACCCGUUUUGCAUCAUUUUUCGUUCCGGAACCGAAUGCUCAAAAACACUCCCAAACAUGUUCUAGGGUAUAAUUAUGAAGAUUGCAUGCGUUCGUUGCGAAAAAAUCCACCCGAGUUUCGCUACACGGAAAAAGUGCAUUCGGGUGCCGAAAUGCACCCGUUUUGCAUCAUUUUUCGUUCCGGAACCGAAUGCUCAAAAACACUCCCAAACAUGUUUUAGGGUAUAAUUAGGAAGAUUGCAUGCGUUCGUUGCGAAAAAAUCCACUCGAGUUUCGCUACCCGGCAAUAUGCAUUCGGGUGCCGAAAUGCACCCGUUUUGCAUCAUUUUUCAUUCCGGAACCGAAUGCUCAAAAACACUCCCAAACAUGUUCUAGGGUAUAAUUAUGAAGAUUGCAUGCGUUCGUUGCGAAAAAAUCCACCCGAGUUUCGCUACCCGGCAAUAUGCAUUCGGGUACCGAAAUGCACCCGUUUUGCAUCAUUUUUCGUUCCGGAACCGAAUGCUAAAAAACACUCCCAAACAUGUUCUAGGGUAUAAUUAUGAAGAUUGCAUGCGUUCGUUGCGAAAAAAUCCACCCGAGUUUCGCUACCCGGCAAUAUGCAUUCGGGUGCCGAAAUGCACCCGUUUUGCAUCAUUUUUCGUUCCGGAACCGAAUACUCAAAAACAAACUCCCAAACAUGUUCUAGUGUAUAGUUAGGAAGAUUGGAUGCGUUCGUUGCGAGAAAAUCCACCCGAGUUUCGCUACCCGGAAAUAGUGCAUUCGGGUGCCGAAAUGCACCCAUUUUGCAUCAUUUUUCGUUCCGGAACCGAAUGCUCAAAAACACUCCCAAACAUGUUCUAGGGUAUAAUUAGGAAUAUUGCAUGCGUUCGUUGCGAAAAAAUCCACCCGAGUUUCGCUACCCGGCAAUAUGCAUUCGGGUGCCGAAAUGCACCCGUUUUGCAUCAUUUUUCGUUCCGGAACCGAAUGCUCAAAAACACUCCCAAACAUGUUCUAGGGUAUAAUUAGGAAGAUUGCAUGCGUUCGUUGCGAAAAUAUCCACCCGAGUUUCGCUACCCGGCAAUAUGCAUUCGGGUGCCGAAAUGUACCCGUUUUGCAUCAUUUUUCGUUCCGGAACCGAAUGCUCAA